RNAcentral lists this ribosomal RNA (468 nucleotides) under uncultured bacterium. Its description in RNAcentral is "partial 16S ribosomal RNA". It matches the Rfam family "Bacterial small subunit ribosomal RNA", at positions 28 to 507 of the family's 1533-position model. The record is from RNAcentral.
GACGAACGCUGGCGGCGUGCUUAACACAUGCAAGUCGAACGGAAAGGCCCUGCUUUUGUGGGGUGCUCGAGUGGCGAACGGGUGAGUAACACGUGGGUAACCUGCCCUUGACUUUGGGAUAACUUCAGGAAACUGGGGCUAAUACCGGAUAGGAGCUCCUGCUGCAUGGUGGGGGUUGGAAAGUUUCGGCGGUUGGGGAUGGACUCGCGGCUUAUCAGCUUGUUGGUGGGGUAGUGGCUUACCAAGGCUUUGACGGGUAGCCGGCCUGAGAGGGUGACCGGCGACAUUGGGACUGAGAUACGGCCCAGACUCCUACGGGAGGCAGCAGUGGGGAAUAUUGCACAAUGGGCGGAAGCCUGAUGCAGCAACGCCGCGUGCGGGAUGACGGCCUUCGGGUUGUAAACCGCUUUCGCCUGUGACGAAGCGUGAGUGACGGUAAUGGGUAAAGAAGCACCGGCUAACUACGUG